GCACCCGCGGUAAUUCCAGCACCAAUAGCGUAUAUUAAUGCUGCUGCUGUUAAAAAGCUCGUAGUUGGAUCAAGAGUUGGACUGUGCGUGGUGGCCCCGUUAGUUGUGGUGGGUCCUGCUCAUCCCGACGGCGGCGGAACUACCCCGCGCAUUACGCAGUCCACUCUAACAGGCCGAAACGGUUCCCUGUGAGUAGGCCCCUUCAUUGGAGUCGAAAGCGCCAACGCAUCGACCAUAUGCAUACGGGACGUCGGCCAAUGUUACUGUGAACAAACCAGCGUGUCCAAAGCAGGCCUUCGCCUGAAUGUUCGAGCAUGGAAUAACAAGGGAUCGAUUCUCUCGGUUCUUUUUGUUGGUUUUUAACCCGAGAAGGAGUAAUUCAGUCCACGGUGUCUGAGUUGGGUUCCCCUAGGUUUCGGCUUAGGCCCCAAUUAGGCCGUGUGCUUACGGGAUCAAUAGGGACUGACGGGGUCGUACGUACUUCCGCGUCAGAGGUGAAAUUCUUAGAUCGCGGGAAGACGAACUUCUGCGAAAGCAUUCGACAAGAAUGUCUUCAUUAAUCAAGAACGAGAGUGUGGGGAUCGAAGAUGAUCAGAUACCGUCGUAGUCCACUACUGUAAACAAUGCCGUCUCAGGAUUGAGAAGUGAACUGAAUGACUUUCACAGCACUAACCCCUGAAACGAGAAAUCAAAGAUUAUGGGUUCAGGGGGGAGUACAUUCGCAAGGCUGAAACUUAAAGGAAUUGACGGAAUGACACCACAAGGCGUGGAGUAUGCGGCUUAAUUUGACUCAACACGGGGAAUUUUACUAGGUCAGGACAAUGUAAGGAUUGACAGAUUGAGAGCUCUUUCUCGAUCCAUUGUGUGGUGGUGCAUGGCCGCUCCUGGUUGGUGGAGUGAUUUGUCUGGUUGAUUCCGUUAACGAACGAGAUCUCGACCCUUAAAUAGGUGCCCGUGUCGCUUGUAGUCUCACUCCGCUGGGCCUGCCCUUCUUGGAUGGGACGAGACUGCGGGAAUACUUCUUAAGGGGACUGUAUGCGUUUAUAGCAUGCGGAAGAGCGAGCCAAUAGCAGGUCUGUGAUGCUCCUAAAUGUCCUAGGCUGCACGCGCACUACACUGAUGCAAUAAACGAGUCUGAGUGCCUUCUGGCAACCUACCUGGAAGCGGGUGGGAAAUCUUUUGAACUUGCAUCGUGAUGAG
This 1200-nucleotide ribosomal RNA is filed under the name uncultured marine diplonemid. RNAcentral describes it as "SSU rRNA". It matches the Rfam family "Eukaryotic small subunit ribosomal RNA", at positions 570 to 1574 of the family's 1831-position model. The record is from RNAcentral. Lineage: Eukaryota; Euglenozoa; Diplonemea.